UAUUCCUACGGGGCGCAGCAGUGGGGAAUAUUGCACAAUGGGGGAAACCCUGAUGCAGCGACGCCGCGUGGGCGAGGAAGUACCUCGGUAUGUAAAGCCCUAUCAGCAGGGAAGAAACAGGACAGUACCUGACUAAGAAGCCCCGGCUAACUACGUGCCAGCAGCCGCGGUAAUACGUAGGGGGCAAGCGUUAUCCGGAUUUACUGGGUGUAAAGGGAGCGUAGACGGCAGCGCAAGUCUGGAGUGAAAUGCCGGGGCUCAACCCCGGAACUGCUUUGGAAACUGUGCAGCUAGAGUGCGGGAGG
RNAcentral lists this ribosomal RNA (305 nucleotides) under uncultured bacterium. RNAcentral's name for it is "bacterial SSU rRNA". It matches the Rfam family "Bacterial small subunit ribosomal RNA", at positions 334 to 655 of the family's 1533-position model. The record is from RNAcentral.